AAUCCAAACGUCCAUCAACAGAAGAACAGAUUAAGAAAAUGUGGAGCUUUUAAUUACUUGAGAUGACAAUUUUUAUGUAUCUUUCCCUUCACAAAUGGACACUGGAUUUCUUUAUGCCAUCCAUCCCCCUACCUAGGACACUGUCUCCAAGUUACAGUAGGUCUGAAGUGAAGCAGGUGAAUCUACAGUUUUCAAAAGCUCACCAGCUGAGUCUACUGCACUUCUAGAGCUGGAACCAGGGUGGCACUGGCGUCUGGAGACAGCAGGAAGAGAGACCACGUUCACGUUGUUCAGACAACCUGUCCGCAAGGCCCAAGGAGCUCUGCUAUUAAGCAGUGAGCACUCUGGCCCCCUUUCGCUGCCUGCAUUGGACACGAUGGAACUAGAAGCUUCUGAAAGCAGAUGAAAGGUAAGACACUCCAGGGAAAUGGCUUGUUCCAAUUUACCCCAUCACUCAGAACAGGAUUCCAACAAAGGAGCUAACCCUUUGCAUGACCCCCGCCCCUGGCUCCCUCUCCCACAUAUUCUGUGCCUAGCGUGGGCUUUAUUUCGAGAUACUUUUCAAAUAUGACUUUAUGAUUUGAGGCUUCCAGAUUCCCCACAUGGUUCUCAGUUGUGCAGUGUUUGGCAUGUUAUCUGGGUCAUCAAAGUGCU
Aethalodelphis obliquidens (Pacific white-sided dolphin) is the source of this 654-nucleotide long non-coding RNA. RefSeq lists it as uncharacterized. The transcript is spliced from 5 exons. The record is from RefSeq and is a predicted model, not a curated record. Lineage: Eukaryota; Metazoa; Chordata; Mammalia; Artiodactyla; Delphinidae.